This 157-nucleotide ribosomal RNA is filed under the name Arthrobotrys musiformis. RNAcentral describes it as "5.8S ribosomal RNA". It matches the Rfam family "5.8S ribosomal RNA". Rfam says of the family: 5.8S ribosomal RNA (5.8S rRNA) is a component of the large subunit of the eukaryotic ribosome. It is transcribed by RNA polymerase I as part of the 45S precursor that also contains 18S and 28S rRNA. The record is from RNAcentral. Lineage: Eukaryota; Fungi; Ascomycota; Orbiliomycetes; Orbiliales; Orbiliaceae.
AACUUUCAACAACGGAUCUCUUGGUUCCCGCAUCGAUGAAGAACGCAGCGAAACGCGAUAGUUAAUGUGAAUUGCAGAAUUCAGUGAAUCAUCGAGUCUUUGAACGCACAUUGCGCCCAUUGGUAUUCCUUUGGGGCAUGUCUGUUUGAGCGUCAUU